UACCAGCACCCCGAGUGGUCGGGACGAUUAUUGGGCCUAAAGCAUCCGUAGCCGGUUCUACAAGUCUUCCGUUAAAUCCACCUGCUUAACAGAUGGGCUGCGGAGGAUACUAUAGAGCUAGGAGGCGGGAGAGGCAAGCGGUACUUAGUGGGUAGGGGUAAAAUCCGUCGAUCCAUUGAAGACCACCAGUGGCGAAGGCGGCUUGCCAGAACGCACUCGACGGUGAGGGAUGAAAGCUGGGGGGGCAAACCGG
RNAcentral lists this ribosomal RNA (253 nucleotides) under uncultured bacterium. RNAcentral describes it as "partial 16S ribosomal RNA". It matches the Rfam family "Archaeal small subunit ribosomal RNA", at positions 474 to 727 of the family's 1478-position model. The record is from RNAcentral.